Molecule: unclassified non-coding RNA, 2440 nt
Filed under: Apis dorsata (giant honeybee)
Lineage: Eukaryota; Metazoa; Arthropoda; Insecta; Hymenoptera; Apidae
Description: uncharacterized LOC102672724, transcript variant X1
Source: RNAcentral
UUCUUCCGUUGUUUUCUCCAAGAUGGCAACCGACCGACAAAUCUGGAAAUUAUAAAAAAAAAAUUUGGAAACCGGACGCGGAUUUCAGAAUUAUCGAUAAAUUGGGAAUAUAAUGUUAACUGAUAAACCGAUAAACGAAUGUGUUUGUCCCCGAUGCCUUCAUUCGUCGUGUCCCCUUCCCAAUGCGGAGCCACCGUACGAUGAAAUCACGCAAGAAAUAAAUAAUAAUUUCAUAUCCGUCAAGGUGCCGAAAUGCAAAAGAAAAUUCGAGAAGGAAGACGAGGAUGAGGAAGAAAAAUUGAGUUUUGACUUUAAUUGCGCCGAUGCCGAAGGUGAAAAAUGCAAAACUGGUUGCACCAAAGUUCACGUGAUACCGAACGAGCAUGCCCCACCGAAAAAGCCCGAGGAAGAGAUGCUCUCGUUGAAGUCUAUAAGUCACAUUAUGCCCAACGACAGAUUAGACAACACUAUCGAAAUUGAAUUCAAGGCAGCGCGAAAUUACAAUCCGUUGCCUGAACCCGGACCACCGCCGCCCAUAAUUGUACCAAGGCAGCGUAUUAAGAAGAAGAAGGGCAAGGCUAAAAACAAAUAAGAUUCGAGAGAAAUUGGCAAUUAUGGCCAAUGCGCAGACGUUUCCACGUUUCAACGAUAUUUGUGACUCAACGGAGAAAGAAAGAAAGAGAGGAAAGAUAGUGAGCGAAAUAGCGAAGAGAUACGUUGGGCAGAAAAUCGGGCCCUCUUUAGGGAUUUACGAGUGACACGGAACUAAAACGUUCGCCACUUUGUCGUAAAGCCGAGAGAGAGAGAGAGAGAGAACGAAUAAUGGAACGAUAAAUCACCGGCAUUAUAUUCUUGCGCAUCUUGGGGAGUGGGGAGAGGGACGAUAAAUCAUAUCGCGCACCGAAGGCAUACGGACGCGUCGGUAUUAAACGGUUUUCGUUUCGCCAUUGUCUUCCCACCCGGUAACAGGCGUCUUUUUAAAUCCUGCCUUACUUACUCCUCCGAUUCCGUUUCGACGAAUCGCAAGCGUUACGUUCUCGACUCUAAGCUCUGGACGACAUUCGCAGUUACAAGUUGAGAGCAAAUGAUGGAAAAAACGAAAAGAGGGGAAAAAGCUUGUAAAUCUCGCGCUCCCGUUCAAUUUCUUUCGCCGACAACCGAUUAAUAACUAAGGAUAAAUUUCACGAUGCCGAACUCGUGAUGCUCUCACGAGUUCAUUUACGAUCCAGUAAGUGUUCUUACGGAUGGAGGAUAUAUAUAUAUCGUUUCCAUGGAAACGAAUAUUUCCGUGGAACAACAACGAGGGAUAAAAAGGGAUGGAAAUUUAUCGAUCGUAGACGUAGAUCGAAAGAUCGCGUAAAUUUUCUUUUUUGCCGGUUUCGAAAUAUUUCGAAUAGCGCGAGAAGUGCGGAACAUNUUCGCGUGAGAGCUCGGGGAACGGGGAGGGGGGAGGGAAUACAAUGGCGCGUUUGCGUGUGUUUGCGUGUUGUUGUACGAAUUUCCAGCGUAUUUCCAAAGAGAUCCGUGGAACGCGUAUACGCACAAUUGACGGAAGUAAAAUUUUAUCACGGCACGUAUCGAAUGUACAGUGUGCGCCGCGUGAAUAAAAUACACUCUUUCCAAAACCCGCACCCGGGGUUGCAUCAACGGGGAUCGGAAUAAAAAUAUUUGCAUGCUCCUCGACGAGUUCCCCGUUUCGUUUAAUGAAAAUGUUCCAAAACCCAUAAUUUAUUCUCNNNNNNNNNNNNNNAGAGAGAGAGAGAGAGAGAGAGAGAGAGAGCAAAAAAACACGUCAAUUCGAGAUCGCGACGAUUAGAUUUCGUUCCUCUUCUGUCUUUCCGCCUCUAUCGAUCCACGCGAUAACUAAUUACGAUCCCGUCUAACGAGACCUCUACUCAACCUUCGCGUCAACCGGGAAGCUCAUCAUUAAAGGGAGGAGGGAGGGGGGUUAUGCUUCGCUCAAGAAUCCUCAAUUUGUAUCAGCAAUACCUUCCACCAUGUUGAGAUAUUUCCAUUUCGCUAUCUUUCGGAUCUCAGAUUUUAGAAAAUUUAAUUUUUCCGCCACGGAUUUUUACUUGCUUGCUCGUCGAAAAAUAUGAAAUAAAAUUUUAAAAGACUCGACUAAUCCGGGAUGAAGGAGAAGAAGAAAAAAAAAAAAAAAAACGUUUCGAGGAAAGAUCGAAAAUGGAGCAUACACGAGAUCAACCUUGAAAGGCAAAAUUAGCACCAUUCAUCGAGAGAGGAAGAGAGAGGAAAAAAAAAAAAGGAAACCACGAUCCUCCUUCUCCUUAGGAUCUAUUCCCCUUUAUAAAUAUUUAUUACGCGGAACGAGAAGCCCCGGCAGAAACCACGCAACGAAUUCGAUCGUGAAAGCAUUUGCUUGUAUUUUAAACGAUUUUCUCCGGUACACUGUAUAAUUCAAUAAAAUUUGAAUCUAUCG